GUCUAUGUCCAUACUACCUUGAACGCACCCAAUCGCAUCUGAUCUCAGAAGCUAAGCAGGGUCGAGUCUUGUUAGUACUUGCAUGGGAGACN
RNAcentral lists this ribosomal RNA (92 nucleotides) under Colobus angolensis palliatus. The record is from RNAcentral. Lineage: Eukaryota; Metazoa; Chordata; Mammalia; Primates; Cercopithecidae.